AAGGGUGCGUAGGCGGCCUGUUAAGUCAGGGGGUGAAAGACGGUAGCUCAACUAUCGCAGUGCCCUUGAUACUGAUGGGCUUGAAUUGACUAGAGGUAGGCGGAAUGUGACAAGUAGCGGUGAAAUGCAUAGAUAUGUCACAGAACACCGAUUGCGAAGGCAGCUUACUAUGGUCUUAUUGACGCUGAGGCACGAAAGCGUGGGGAUCAAACAGGAUUAGAUACCCUAGU
This 230-nucleotide ribosomal RNA is filed under the name uncultured bacterium. Its description in RNAcentral is "partial 16S ribosomal RNA". It matches the Rfam family "Bacterial small subunit ribosomal RNA", at positions 563 to 791 of the family's 1533-position model. The record is from RNAcentral.